CAAGACAGGGAGUUCACGUUGUUUUAUUUUUUUAAGUCACUAGCUUUCCACAGUGUAUAUGCCAGGAAGUCUCAUGGGAACCUGUUUUCAGUUAGUCUCAACUGGGAAGGCCCAGGUGCCGGAGCGUCAUGCCAGCGAGCCCCGGGCCCCUCCCGAUGUCCCAUGAGGCGUCCGUGCUCCCGAGCUCCAAGGUCAGCCCCCUGCACUCCAGAAGCCUGCCAGCCCCACCCCAGAGCCGUUCUCGCGGGGCCACCUCCUCCCAGCCAGACCUCCUGUAGCCCCAGAGGAAGGCCUCAGCCAGGAGCCACUGCCGGGACUCAGACCUUUCCAGAAAAGGAAGUCAUUGACUCCUCUGUCCAGAAGACGUCUUUGAACUGUGACCUUUUCACCCUCCGCUCUUGGUCAAGGAGCAAUCGUCUUGGCCUCACCAGGCGCCCGUCAGCCAACCGUGCGGAUGACCAGCCCCUCUGGAGGCACCCCUUCCCCAGCUUAGCCUGAACCAGUUCUUGAAACUGUUCGCAGACCACAGGCCUUCGUGGGCAGGACCUGGAGCUGUGAAGGGCCCCUCUGCGCUCCAGCUGCGUCCUUGGCGUGGACGGUGACCAGGAGCUCUCGGGCCGCCCUCCUCUGCUGGCCUCACCGCCCACCUUAGCUCCAGCCUCGGCCUUCAUGCCUGCGGCUUCUGGAACCACGUGCUUCUAGCCGCAGGCGCCCUGGGGCCUUCCUGAGCUCCUCCGACCCCCUCCUUCUCUAGAGGUUGGUGUGGCUCCGUGUCUCUGCUUCUCACACUGCAGUCUCAGAAGGCGGAUUUCCCUCAAUCUAGGGAGAGCUUGAUAAGCCUCUGUUCUUGUUUCUGCUGUCUCUGUGUUUGGUGAUCCAUCUCGCAUCAGAUUCUCCCAGCUCUGUGUGCUGGAUUUAAAUUAGAACAUUCGGGGUGGGAGGAGGUUCAAGAGGGAGGGGACAUAGGUAUACUUACGGCCGAUUGACGUUUUUGUUCAGCAGAAAGCACCAUGACAUUGUAAGGCAGUUAUCCUCCAGUUGAAAAAAUAUCAACUUUCACAAGUGACUUAGGUAGAUUCUCUCUAGAGGAAAGUGAUCAGUGUUGUCAGGUGGAGGCCCGCAGGCCACUGCUCACAGUUAAAGCAGGAAAAACUGGUCCUUAGGGCUCCAGGCGGGAGAGCACGCGCCCUCCGGCCACUUUUGUGUCCUGUGGUGUGGUGUCGGCUCCCGGGUCAGGGCCCUCACUGCUCCCCCACAGCCCUCUCCAGCUCUCAGACAUCAGCCCACAGCCAGGACUCUGAGCUGACUUUGCUUUUACUGUCCUAGGAUGGUGGAGAGUAAAGUGUCAGGGCUGGGAUUCCAUCAGUCUGAGUUUCAGCCAAGAAACUGCACAUUCAGGGACUUCCUUGGUGGUCCAGUGGCUAAGACUCUGCGUUCCCAAUGCAGGGGGCCCAGGUUCGAUCCCUGGUCAGGAAACUAGAUCCCAUAUGCCACAACUAAGACCCGGCAUAUCCACAUAAAUGAAAAAAAAAAAAAAGA
Long non-coding RNA from Bos mutus (wild yak), 1539 nucleotides. Lineage: Eukaryota; Metazoa; Chordata; Mammalia; Artiodactyla; Bovidae. The record is from Ensembl.